UGACUUAAGCAUAUCAAUAAGCGGAGGAAAAGAAACUAACGGCGAGUGAAGCGGCAACAGCUCAAAUUUGAAAUCUGGCCCCCUAGGGGGUCCGAGUUGUAAUUUGCAGAGGAUGCUUUUGGCGAGGCGCCGGCCGAGUGCCCUGGAAUGGGACGCCGUAGAGGGUGAGAGCCCCGUACGGCCGGACGUCGAGCCUCUGUAAAGCUCCCUCGACGAGUCGAGUAGUUUGGGAAUGCUGCUCUAAACGGGAGGUAAACCCCUUCUAAAGCUAAAUACCGGCCAGAGACCGAUAGCGCACAAGUAGAGUGAUCGAAAGAUGAAAAGCACUUUGAAAAGAGAGUUAAACAGCACGUGAAAUUGUUGAAAGGGAAGCGCUUGUGGCCAGACUUGCGCCCGGCGGCUCAGCCGUCCCUCGUGGGCGGUGCACUCCGCCGGGCUCAGGCCAGCAUCAGCUCGCUGCUGGGGAGAAAGGCGGUGGGAACGUGGCUCUUCGGAGUGUUAUAGCCCGCCGCCAUGCCCUCCAGCGGGCUGAGGUUCGCGCCUUAGGGCAAGGAUGCUGGCGUAAUGGCCAUCAGCGACCCGUCUUGAAACACGGACCAAGGAGUCGUCCUAGCAUGCGAGUGUUCGGGUGCCAAACCCCUACGCGAAAUGAAAGUGAACGGAGGUGAGAGCUUCGGCGCAUCAUCGACCGAUCCUGAUGUUUUCGGAUGGAUUUGAGUAGGAGCAUGCUGGGCCGGACCCGAAAGAAGGUGAACUAUGCUUGGAUAGGGCAAAGCCAGAGGAAACUCUGGUGGAGGCUCGCAGCGGUUCUGACGUGCAAAUCGAUCGUCAAAUCUGAGCAGGGGGCGAGAAGACUAAUCGACCU
RNAcentral lists this ribosomal RNA (865 nucleotides) under Corollospora maritima. Its description in RNAcentral is "eukaryotic LSU rRNA". It matches the Rfam family "Eukaryotic large subunit ribosomal RNA", at positions 30 to 942 of the family's 3401-position model. The record is from RNAcentral. Lineage: Eukaryota; Fungi; Ascomycota; Sordariomycetes; Microascales; Halosphaeriaceae.